Acanthopagrus latus (yellowfin seabream) is the source of this 783-nucleotide long non-coding RNA. RefSeq lists it as uncharacterized. The record is from RefSeq and is a predicted model, not a curated record. NCBI's taxonomy places the organism in Eukaryota, Metazoa, Chordata, Actinopteri, Spariformes, Sparidae. The transcript is spliced from 3 exons.
UAUGAUGCUGCAUCAUGCCGGGCAUCCCAGCGUCUCUUGCCGUCUCCACUGCCGCACCAUGUCAAUUACAAACAGCCUGCAGGGCAUGUACUUCACAAAGCACAACAGAAGAGGUAAAUGAAGAACAGCAAAUGUCUUCUGGGGUCCUACAAUCCACUCCAAAGAAGGCUCCAGUAAAGAGCCAUCAGGCCUCCACAUUAGCAUCACAGCUGAAGCUUGUUCUAACCAGCCCUGAACAUCCCCUCCCCUGAGAAAGACCAUCAACCUCUGGAGCUUCCCUGCCGUUGGGUCUGAAUUAGAGUAGCAAAUCCACCUCCACACAGACAUCCAACUCAGAUUUGGAGGCUGGAUCAGCGGGAGACCCCGGUCAGUUGUGUUCCAGGAGGUGGAUUGUGAAUGAGCCCCAACCUCUGCAGCUCCUUUGUAAAUUGUCAUCAAUGUGGUGUUGUCAUCAGUGAUAAGAAACUCAUCAGCUCUGGGUCCAAGAUAAGGACAGAGUGGAACUGUCUGGCUGGGCACAGUGGGGUGUGGCAGUCUUGUCCUGAUGUUAGAGGAUUGACAGAAGACAACCUCUUGUCUUCAGCAGCCAUUCUUUUCACUGGCACAACAGAGACUGAAAUUUCAGAGUGGGCUAAAGUUUUGAAAUUACAGUUGCCACAGAAGACAGCUUAUUUUUCAGAGCAGUCUGCGUACCUCAUACCAGUGGUUCAUGAAGCCCAUACAGAACUGCUGACGUACAUGAGGGAAAUUUUAAGUGCCGGUGGAAAGUUUGAUGUCUGUGGG